GGCGGGGGCACGGGGGGCCUACGGGAGGCAGCAGUGGGGAAUCUUGGACAAUGGGGGCAACCCUGAUCCAGCCAUGCCGCGUGAGUGAUGAAGGCCUUAGGGUCGUAAAGCUCUUUCGCCUGUGAAGAUAAUGACGGUAGCAGCUAAAGAAACCCCGGCUAACUCCGUGCCAGCAGCCGCGGUAAUACGGAGGGGGUUAGCGUUGUUCGGAAUUACUGGGCGUAAAGCGCACGUAGGCGGACCGGAAAGUCAGGGGUGAAAUCCCGGGGCUCAACCCCGGAACUGCCUCCAAAACUAUCAGUCUAGAGUUCGAGAGAGGUGAGUGGAAUUCCAAGUGUAGAGGUGAAAUUCGUAGAUAUUUGGAGGAACACCAGUGGCGAAGGCGGCUCACUGGCUCGAUACUGACGCUGAGGUACGAAAGUGUGGGGAGCAAACAGGAUUAGAUACCCUGGUAGUCCACACCGUAAACGAUGAAUGCCUAGUCUGUCGGGUAGCAUG
RNAcentral lists this ribosomal RNA (498 nucleotides) under uncultured bacterium. RNAcentral describes it as "bacterial SSU rRNA". It matches the Rfam family "Bacterial small subunit ribosomal RNA", at positions 317 to 836 of the family's 1533-position model. The record is from RNAcentral.